GACGAACCGUGCGAACGUUGUUCGGAAUCACUGGGCUUAAAGGGCGCGUAGGCGGCAGUUCAAGUCCGGGGUGAAAUCCUCCAGCUCAACUGGAGAAGUGCCUUGGAUACUGGAUUGCUCGAGGGAGGUAGGGGUCGAGGGAACUUCUGGUGGAGCGGUGAAAUGCGUUGAUAUCAGAAGGAACGCCGGUGGCGAAAGCGCUCGACUGGAUCUCUUCUGACGCUGAGGCGCGAAAGCUAGGGGAGCAAACGGG
This 253-nucleotide ribosomal RNA is filed under the name uncultured bacterium. Its description in RNAcentral is "partial 16S ribosomal RNA". It matches the Rfam family "Bacterial small subunit ribosomal RNA", at positions 524 to 776 of the family's 1533-position model. The record is from RNAcentral.